This 2271-nucleotide long non-coding RNA is filed under the name Marmota monax (woodchuck). Lineage: Eukaryota; Metazoa; Chordata; Mammalia; Rodentia; Sciuridae. The record is from RNAcentral.
GUCUUUUCAGCUCCAUCUUAAAGCUAGAAUCCGAGAAGACGUGAACAAUUCAACAGCUUUGAAGAUUUUUCCGCCUUCUGGUUUUGCCUCAGGAAUGAGAAGAGCUUAACAGAAGUGGAAAAUUAAGAUUUCUGUUGUACACGAUAAAGAUAAACUCAACUUCCCAUAGAAUUCAAGUAAUUGUCAGCUGGCGUUCUUUAUCUGUGGCGGAGGGAAGCAGAAUUGUGGACCUGACUCUUAAGGAAGAUAACCGGUUGAGCGCAGGUUCCUGAAAUGUAUUAAUGGACGUUUUCGUUUCUAAAGGAGUCAGGGGAGCUGGAUCUGAAAUUUGGAUGUUCUUUUACUAUCUACAGAAAAGAUACAAGCUGUCCUGAUGUGACCGGAUGAGUCCGCCUGGUCUCAUUUCCCUUCCUAAGCUCAAGGUCUAUGAAAUCAGCAAUUAAAAAGAGCUCCUGGUUGUUAAGACCUGAUCCUGGGCUCUGUGGAAUCAAUCUCCCAACAGCCUCCUUCCUCGCCUGCCUGCUCUCAUCCCCCCUAUCUCAUCCUGGGCUCCUCCAGCCACCCAAUAAAUGUUCACUGAGCAUCUACUAAUGCUGGCCCUGAGGGUGGUAAAUGCAUCAGUCUGUGCUGGUAACCCAACCGCCCAAGAUUUGGUGUUUAAACUUAGUUUGAGAUGACCGUGAUAUUUUAUUGCUCCUGAUUUUCUUCUGCUGGUCUCACCUGGGCUGGCUCAUAAGUGGCUCCAUUCAGCGAGAGGGCCGCCUGGGCAGGAGUCUCGAGGUGGCCUCACUUGAACACGUGGCUGAAGCGGGUGCUGGUGGGGUGCCCUAUCCUCCUCCGGUGGCUUAGGUGAGACUGGCUUCCUUAGAGGGCGGUAUUCCAAACGAUUAAAGUGGAAACCAGAAGAACUCACUCAGGGUCUCAGAGACCACCUGGUGUCACUUCUGUGGCAUCUCAUUGGUCAAGUCUGAGGCCAGCCCAGAUUCAAGGGAAGGGAGGAGGGUCCUUGUGUGGGAGGGAGGAGUGACAAGGUCCUGCUACACAGGGACCUGCACACCAGGACAAGAGGAAUGUGGGGCCGCGUCUGCCUCAUGUGGCUCGGGAUCUGGCAACAGCAGCUGGGUGACAGUUGGGCUUGCUGCGCCGCAUGGUGCCACGUGCCUCACGAGCGCAAGGGUUGCUCAAUAACCUCACCCACGGCAGGAGCCCUGUUUUAAUAUGGAGUGACAGAUGCACAAAGAGGCUAAAUAACUGGGCGUAGGAGAGACAGGCACUGAAAACCUGAGACAGAAGGAAAAAGAAAAACCAACAAAACUCCACACCCAUUAUUCCCCGCAGGCCAGGAGCGCUGCCUGCUUAAUUUCACAAGCCACAUGCUGGCUGUAGGUGGCAGAGAAGGAAGAGCACACCGUGCCAUCAGGGCAGAGGUCACUGGGUGACUUCGGCUCUGACACAGAUGUGGGAGGCCUCUCCAUGGAAGGGAUGGAAGGGAUGCUCCGUCUCAUCUCAAGGACAAAGGACAAAGGGCUGGCGUGGAGCUCAAGGGGACAGCACUUGCCUGGCAUGUGGGAGGCCCUGGGUUCCAGCCCCUGUACUGUGAAAAAAAGGAUAAAAGACAGCCGGGGACCGGGCAAGGACAGGGUCCCAGUGUCAAGGCGCUGAGAGGUGGAAUUUUCUCUAGAAUCGUCAUUGUCAGUAUGAAGGGAGAGAGAGUCGCCGCUCUGGGCAGCAGAGGGACGUUCCUCAGGCCUUCACCUGUCCUGGGACAAUCACUCACAGCUUUGGAAAAUGAGCUUUGUAGUUCAAAACUCCAGGAAUGAAAUUAGAAAGGCCAGUGUCAAAUGGGAAACCACAGUGUCUCCGUCAGCACGUCCCUGUGCAUUCGGCCGUGCACCUGCGAUCCGGUGGUAGUAGGAACAAAUGUGACUCCAUUUUGUUUUAUGACUUCAUCCUGUAAAACAACCAUGCCAAGUAGAAGAGUCAUGACUGGAGCAAGGUGUUCUCUUCCUUUUGCUAUAGAAACAUUUAAGAAUACGGAACUACUUAAUGGGGUAUUGUUUCUGUAACUAGGGUAACAGGGCUCUGUUUCUGUAACUGGGGUGACUGGGCUAACUGUGAUUGGUUAGGCUUCCCUCCGCUUGACUGCACUGUCUUGCUUCUGUAACCUGGCUUGCUUGCAUUGGCUAGACCCCCUGAACAUCCCUUUUGCGGUUUUCAGGCUUAUAAGGAGUGCCCUUGCAAUUGUUCGGGGCUGAUCAGGGGAACAACUUU